This 579-nucleotide non-coding RNA is filed under the name Cavia porcellus (domestic guinea pig). Its description in RNAcentral is "Bacterial small subunit ribosomal RNA". It matches the Rfam family "Bacterial small subunit ribosomal RNA", at positions 691 to 1522 of the family's 1533-position model. The record is from Rfam by way of RNAcentral. Lineage: Eukaryota; Metazoa; Chordata; Mammalia; Rodentia; Caviidae.
CAGAUAAAAUAUAAACCAGAAACGAAAGUAAUCUUAAUAUAUCUGAAUACAUGAAAGCUAAGACCCAAACUGGGAUUAGAUACCCCACUAUGCUUAGCCAUAAACAUAAAAAUUUAUGUAACAAGAAUUUUCACCUGAGAACUACUAGCAAUAGCUUAAAACUCAAAGGACUUGGCGGUGCUCCACCUAGAGGACCUGUUCUAUAAUCAAUGAACUCUGAUACACCUCAACACUUCUUGAUGAUACAGCCUGUAUAUUGCCAUCUUCAGCAAACCCAAUCAUGGAAGCAGAGUAAUCAUAAGUAUGCUACAUAAAAACGUUAGGUCAAGGUGUAGCCAAUGAAGUGGAAAGAAAUGGGCCACAUUUCCCUACUAAAGAAUAACAAAUGCAUCUAAGGAGGAUUUAGCAGUAAAUCAAGAAUGGGGAGCUUGAUUGAACUAGGCCAUGAAGCACGUAUAUACCUUCCGUCACCCUCCUCAAGCAUCCAAAAAAUUUUAAACCCCAAAAUUAAUACAUAUAAGAGGAAAUAAGUUGUAACAAGGUAAGCAUACUGGAAAGUGUGCUUGGAAACAAAGUGUA